UGAAUGGAUGAGUAUUGGAAGCUCACUCUUGCUCAAUCAUGCUCGAAAAUCCGACUGCCAUGGAAAUGGUUCAAUGCAACAGUGCUGGAAAAUGGUGCAACAGCUGCGAAAUGAGGUUUACAGAAGCUUCAACAAUGUUGGUGAAUGAUGAACCAGUAGACCAAGGCACCAGUUCUUUGAAGAUUUUUUAGAAAAAAUUCAGAUGAAGAAUUGAGAGUGUUUGAGAGAAAAGGUUUGAAUCUGAGUUUUGGGAAGUGUAGCUAGGGUUUUCAGACUGAAAAUGUGCACUAUAUACUCUGAUUAGCAAUGCUCAAGUGUGGUUA
Molecule: long non-coding RNA, 323 nt
Filed under: Lathyrus oleraceus (garden pea)
Lineage: Eukaryota; Viridiplantae; Streptophyta; Magnoliopsida; Fabales; Fabaceae
Description: Pisum sativum (pea) long non-coding RNA (PSAT_LNC037707)
Source: RNAcentral